UCACGAAUUUCAAUACCCCCACUCUUCUUCUUACUACGAGAAUACGUCAAUUUCUCUUUUCCUUUCCAUUUUUCACUACCCUUUCCUUUUGAUUUUCCUGAAACAACUUGGUCUUUUCCUUUUUUCUUCUUCGACAAUACUUCCGGAGAGAGUGCCUCCCAAUCUGUCGACUCAGUUUUCGAUUCAUCGUCAGGAGCAUAUUCACUCCCGAUAUCCUCAACCGGUUGCUCUACAGGCUGUUGAGCCGAAGAACGAUGGCGCUUACCACCACGACCACCACCAGCCAU
This 287-nucleotide long non-coding RNA is filed under the name Ananas comosus (pineapple). RNAcentral's name for it is "long non-coding RNA (ACOM_LNC043019)". The record is from RNAcentral. Lineage: Eukaryota; Viridiplantae; Streptophyta; Magnoliopsida; Poales; Bromeliaceae.